RNAcentral lists this transfer RNA (98 nucleotides) under Daldinia eschscholtzii. RNAcentral describes it as "tRNA-Thr". It matches the Rfam family "tRNA". From Rfam's summary of the family: Transfer RNA (tRNA) molecules are approximately 80 nucleotides in length. Their secondary structure includes four short double-helical elements and three loops (D, anti-codon, and T loops). Further hydrogen bonds mediate the characteristic L-shaped molecular structure. tRNAs have two regions of fundamental functional importance: the anti-codon, which is responsible for specific mRNA codon recognition, and the 3' end, to which the tRNAs corresponding amino acid is attached (by aminoacyl-tRNA synthetases). tRNAs cope with the degeneracy of the genetic code in two manners: having more than one tRNA (with a specific anti-codon) for a particular amino acid; and 'wobble' base-pairing, i.e. permitting non-standard base-pairing at the 3rd anti-codon position. The record is from RNAcentral. Lineage: Eukaryota; Fungi; Ascomycota; Sordariomycetes; Xylariales; Hypoxylaceae. RNAcentral also lists the same sequence under 1 other name.
GCCCGCUUGGCACAGCGGUAAUGCGCCUCACUAGUAUUUUCACAAUACUAAUUAGGAAGCUUAUGAGGAGAUGACUGGUUCGACUCCAGUAGUGGGCA